This is a long non-coding RNA of Chinchilla lanigera (long-tailed chinchilla), 683 nucleotides long. RefSeq lists it as uncharacterized. Lineage: Eukaryota; Metazoa; Chordata; Mammalia; Rodentia; Chinchillidae. The transcript has 3 exons. The record is from RefSeq and is a predicted model, not a curated record.
UUUCUGCUACAAGUGUCUGUUCUGGGGUAUUAGUCAUCAAGCCUUAGAAAGAAUUCUGGAAUGGUUCCAAAAGACAACCAAGAAAUAGUUCUUUUGAAAAAUGAAUUAGUGAGUCGCACAUUAUGUGAAGCAGCAGCACCCACGCUACUCAUCAAGGCCCUGGCCUGAGCCUCGCUGUGGGAUGUGUAACCAACCAUCUUUCUGAACUCCUGCAUAAGUGAAUUUUAAAAAAUACUAUGAUUGGAUUAAUAAGAGUACAAAACAAAAACUGUCCUGCAAUUUGGGGCUUUUUAUCAUUGUCAAACAAACUUCCUCCAUCAUUCUUCUAACGCAUACUUCUAAGGCAGUUCUGGAAGUCCGCUUUCACAAGUGCCUAUAGUUGCAAUAUUACAGCUGCUUAGAUUUCUAGAAUUUAUUCAAAACUUUUACUUUUUAUGGUUAUGUUGACUUUGGGGAAGAGCUGGAAGUCAAACGGUGCCAGAUCCAGUCAAUCAGGUAAAUGAGGACACUCUGCAAUGUUCUUACCAGCCUGCCUCUCUGCUGGGUGGUAUUUGAUAGCAGUAUUCGCUGUGUUUUUGAUUACGUGACAUAAGAACUCUCAAGAAAAUCCACCUCCAAAACUGCUUCAGAAAAUGGGAAGAACGACGGGAUAAAUAUGCUCAAAGGGUGUGGGUAUUGGGGAC